RNAcentral lists this ribosomal RNA (1445 nucleotides) under uncultured marine cyanobacterium. RNAcentral's name for it is "bacterial SSU rRNA". It matches the Rfam family "Bacterial small subunit ribosomal RNA". Lineage: Bacteria; Bacillati; Cyanobacteriota. The record is from RNAcentral.
GAGUUUGAUCAUGGCUCAGGAUGAACGCUGGCGGCGUGCUUAACACAUGCAAGUCGAACGAACCUUCGGGUUAGUGGCGGACGGGUGAGUAACGCGUGGGAAUCUGCCCUCAGGAGGGGGAUAACGGUUGGAAACGACCGCUAAUACCCCAUAUGCCGAGAGGUGAAAUGAAUUUCGCCUGAGGAUGAGCCCGCGUCUGAUUAGCUUGUUGGUGGGGUAAUGGCUCACCAAGGCAUCGAUCAGUAGCUGGUCUGAGAGGAUGAUCAGCCACACUGGGACUGAGACACGGCCCAGACUCCUACGGGAGGCAGCAGUGGGGAAUUUUCCGCAAUGGGCGAAAGCCUGACGGAGCAACGCCGCGUGAGGGACGAAGGCCUCUGGGCUGUAAACCUCUUUUCUCAAGGAAGAAGAUAUGACGGUACUUGAGGAAUAAGCCACGGCUAAUUCCGUGCCAGCAGCCGCGGUAAUACGGGAGUGGCAAGCGUUAUCCGGAAUUAUUGGGCGUAAAGCGUCCGCAGGCGGCUUUUCAAGUCUGCUGUUAAAACGUGGAGCUUAACUCCAUCAUGGCAGUGGAAACUGAUUGGCUUGAGUAUGGUAGGGGCAGAGGGAAUUCCCGGUGUAGCGGUGAAAUGCGUAGAUAUCGGGAAGAACACCAGUGGCGAAGGCGCUCUGCUGGGCCAUUACUGACGCUCAUGGACGAAAGCCAGGGGAGCGAAAGGGAUUAGAUACCCCUGUAGUCCUGGCCGUAAACGAUGAACACUAGGUGUCGGGGGAAUCGACCCCUUCGGUGUCGUAGCUAACGCGUUAAGUGUUCCGCCUGGGGAGUACGCACGCAAGUGUGAAACUCAAAGGAAUUGACGGGGGCCCGCACAAGCGGUGGAGUAUGUGGUUUAAUUCGAUGCAACGCGAAGAACCUUACCAGGGCUUGACAUCCUGCGAACCUUUAAGAAAUUAGAGGGUGCCUUCGGGAACGCAGUGACAGGUGGUGCAUGGCUGUCGUCAGCUCGUGUCGUGAGAUGUUGGGUUAAGUCCCGCAACGAGCGCAACCCACGUUUUUAGUUGCCAGCAUUUAGUUGGGCACUCUAGAAAGACCGCCGGUGAUAAACCGGAGGAAGGUGUGGAUGACGUCAAGUCAUCAUGCCCCUUACGUCCUGGGCUACACACGUACUACAAUGCUACGGACAAAGGGCAGCAAACUCGCGAGAGCUAGCAAAUCCCAUAAACCGUGGCUCAGUUCAGAUCGUAGGCUGCAACUCGCCUACGUGAAGUAGGAAUCGCUAGUAAUCGCAGGUCAGCAUACUGCGGUGAAUACGUUCCCGGGCCUUGUACACACCGCCCGUCACACCAUGGAAGUUGGCCACGCCCGAAGUCGUUACUUUAACCCUUGUGGAGAAGGACGCCGAAGGUGGGGCUGAUGACUGGGGUGAAGUCGUAACAAGGUAACC